This 275-nucleotide ribosomal RNA is filed under the name uncultured bacterium. RNAcentral describes it as "partial 16S ribosomal RNA". It matches the Rfam family "Bacterial small subunit ribosomal RNA", at positions 523 to 797 of the family's 1533-position model. The record is from RNAcentral.
AUACGGAGGGUGCAAGCGUUACUCGGAAUCACUGGGCGUAAAGCGCGCGCAGGCGGGCUGAUAAGUUGGAUGUGAAAGCCUACGGCUCAACCGUAGAACUGCAUCCAAAACUGUCAGUCUAGAGUGUGGGAGAGGAAGAUGGAAUUAGUUGUGUAGGGGUAAAAUCCGUGGAGAUAACUAGGAAUACCAAAAGCGAAGGCAAUCUUCUGGAACACUACUGACGCUGAGGCGCGAAGGCGUGGGGAGCAAACAGGAUUAGAAACCCCAGUAGUCCC